AGUCGAGCGGACAGAUGGGAGCUUGCUCCCUGAUGUUAGCGGCGGACGGGUGAGUAACACGUGGGUAACCUGCCUGUAAGACUGGGAUAACUCCGGGAAACCGGGGCUAAUACCGGAUGCUUGUUUGAACCGCAUGGUUCAAACAUAAAAGGUGGCUUCGGCUACCACUUACAGAUGGACCCGCGGCGCAUUAGCUAGUUGGUGAGGUAAUGGCUCACCAAGGCAACGAUGCGUAGCCGACCUGAGAGGGUGAUCGGCCACACUGGGACUGAGACACGGCCCAGACUCCUACGGGAGGCAGCAGUAGGGAAUCUUCCGCAAUGGACGAAAGUCUGACGGAGCAACGCCGCGUGAGUGAUGAAGGUUUUCGGAUCGUAAAGCUCUGUUGUUAGGGAAGAACAAGUGCCGUUCAAAUAGGGCGGCACCUUGACGGUACCUAACCAGAAAGCCACGGCUAACUACGUGCCAGCAGCCGCGGUAAUACGUAGGUGGCAAGCGUUGUCCGGAAUUAUUGGGCGUAAAGGGCUCGCAGGCGGUUUCUUAAGUCUGAUGUGAAAGCCCCCGGCUCAACCGGGGAGGGUCAUUGGAAACUGGGGAACUUGAGUGCAGAAGAGGAGAGUGGAAUUCCACGUGUAGCGGUGAAAUGCGUAGAGAUGUGGAGGAACACCAGUGGCGAAGGCGACUCUCUGGUCUGUAACUGACGCUGAGGAGCGAAAGCGUGGGGAGCGAACAGGAUUAGAUACCCUGGUAGUCCACGCCGUAAACGAUGAGUGCUAAGUGUUA
This 783-nucleotide ribosomal RNA is filed under the name Bacillus sp. 5-1. RNAcentral's name for it is "bacterial SSU rRNA". It matches the Rfam family "Bacterial small subunit ribosomal RNA", at positions 60 to 825 of the family's 1533-position model. The record is from RNAcentral. Lineage: Bacteria; Bacillati; Bacillota; Bacilli; Caryophanales; Bacillaceae.